UACGAAGGGGGCUAGCGUUGCUCGGAAUCACUGGGCGUAAAGGGUGCGUAGGCGGGUCUUUAAGUCAGGGGUGAAAUCCUGGAGCUCAACUCCAGAACUGCCUUUGAUACUGAGGAUCUUGAGUUCGGGAGAGGUGAGUGGAACUGCGAGUGUAGAGGUGAAAUUCGUAGAUAUUCGCAAGAACAUCAGUGGCGAAGGCGGCUCACUGGCCCGAUACUAACGCUGAGGCACGAAAGCGUGGGGAGCAAACAGG
RNAcentral lists this ribosomal RNA (253 nucleotides) under uncultured bacterium. RNAcentral describes it as "partial 16S ribosomal RNA". It matches the Rfam family "Bacterial small subunit ribosomal RNA", at positions 524 to 776 of the family's 1533-position model. The record is from RNAcentral.